GGCGAUUUAGCUCAGUGGUAUAGCGCCUGCCUCGAAAGCACAAGGUCCUGAGUUUGAUCCUCAGUACCA
Molecule: transfer RNA, 69 nt
Filed under: Heterocephalus glaber (naked mole-rat)
Lineage: Eukaryota; Metazoa; Chordata; Mammalia; Rodentia; Bathyergidae
Rfam family: tRNA
About the family: Transfer RNA (tRNA) molecules are approximately 80 nucleotides in length.
Source: Rfam by way of RNAcentral